RNAcentral lists this ribosomal RNA (204 nucleotides) under uncultured bacterium. Its description in RNAcentral is "partial 16S ribosomal RNA". It matches the Rfam family "Bacterial small subunit ribosomal RNA", at positions 568 to 772 of the family's 1533-position model. The record is from RNAcentral.
CGCGUAGGCGGCUUGUACAGUCAGACGUGAAAUUCCUGGGCUCAACCUGGGGGCUGCGUUUGAUACGUGCGGGCUUGAGUUCGGAAGAGGGUCGUGGAAUUCCAGUGUAGAGGUGAAAUUCGUAGAUAUUGGGAAGAACACCGGUGGCGAAGGCGGCGACCUGGUCCGAUACUGACGCUGAGGCGCGAAAGCGUGGGGAGAAAC